RNAcentral lists this transfer RNA (91 nucleotides) under Hymenobacter sp. BRD128. Its description in RNAcentral is "tRNA-Cys". It matches the Rfam family "tRNA". From Rfam's summary of the family: Transfer RNA (tRNA) molecules are approximately 80 nucleotides in length. Their secondary structure includes four short double-helical elements and three loops (D, anti-codon, and T loops). Lineage: Bacteria; Pseudomonadati; Bacteroidota; Cytophagia; Cytophagales; Hymenobacteraceae. The record is from RNAcentral.
ACUGAGGUGGCAGAGCGGUGAUUGCCGUCGUGCACAAGCCGAUGGAAGCUAUGUAGCGGUUCCUCCGUAGGUUCGAGUCCUACCCUCAGUU